UUUUUGGAGCCAGGGUCCCCUUACAGUCGAGGAGCCACCACGUGGUUUGCUGCUCUCAGCAUGGUUCCAGCUACGAGCUCACGCCCUCAGCAGGGUGGAGGGUUCAUCCUGCAGAUCAUCCCUGGAGGCGGUGAAGACAUUAUCUCAGUGGAGUAAAAGUGAGAGGUAAAGUGACAGAGGUAGAUUUAAGUGCGCUGCAGAAAACUCCGAAGAAGGCCCUCGGCAUUUUUCCUCCUCUUAAGUUUUCAGGCUGAACUAAUAUGAACAGAAGGGGAGGGCAGGUGAGGGGACGCGGCUCCACGCUGAAGGCCACCCCUGUGUUUGUUGUUGGGGUUGUUGUUGUUGUCCUAAUACUGUGUGUUUACCUGGAGCUGAUGAUGACAUUUCCAUGGUGACUGAUACAGGAUGGAUUUGAUGCUUCUGUGUGAUGUGUAGAAAUAAAUCAAUAAAUGUCUGGAGCUGUUUUACCUUCACUA
Molecule: long non-coding RNA, 476 nt
Organism: Notolabrus celidotus (New Zealand spotty)
Lineage: Eukaryota; Metazoa; Chordata; Actinopteri; Labriformes; Labridae
Exons: 3
Source: RefSeq, a predicted model, not a curated record